AUUAUAUACAGCAUAUAAAUUCUGUUUAAUACAGCCAAUCUCUUUUUUCCUCCUCAGUGGUGUGAAUGAAGAUGUGAUGCUUGAAUCAGCAAUUUAUGUUAAUGUGCCUCGAUAUGAAGGGCGCCCUUAAGACCUGCUGAAGAAGAAAGGUCCGAUGGAGCAACCAAACCAUGACUACUUAUGUGACACGAUUCUAUAAAGAAGCACUGUCUUUACGCUGGCAAAAGCACGAUAAAGAAAAGAUAACAUUGAUAAUGCCUUGCUUGAAAGAGGUCCAACAUUUUUUUAAAGCAGUUAUUUUUGAUCAUCGUAUGAAAACCUCUGGGUCUAUGGAUGGCUGUGGAUAAACAGUUUACCAAACAGUAUAAUCUUUACACUUUGUUAAAUCACAUUUGUAAAUGUAACAGUGUAAUGUAUCCGAACAAUGAACAUUGUAUCAGACCAGCUUAUGCUUUGUACUUAUUAAUCAAAAAUUAAAAACUAUUUCACUUUCACCUAAGUUUUUUCUGUGUAGUCACAAUGCGCCAAACUGGGAGGCUAAGACAUGAAGCAAAGAACUGUAGUUCAUCAGCAGAAAUAAAUGAUUAUAGCCCGGUCCAAAAAAAAAAACAUUUUGGUCUCUAUAGCCAAUUUUGCUGUUCAUGACAACUGUAUGGGGGUGAAUGUUUACACAACUCACUAGUUCACAUUCUGUUAGUGCUUAAAGUUACGCACAAUUAAGGGAGUGACAGUUUUGAGUGACAGGCUGUCUGCUAAGCAUCACCUUUGGCUCACAGUCAGAUCCACCCCUCACUCUUCCCCUCUCUUUAGAACAAGAGACCAUAAACCAAUGAUGGCUAAUCUAAUAUAUUUAUACAAUCUAUGGUAGCCACUAAAAUCUAAUUUAUGUUCAGAUGGUCUUCCAUCACUAGAAAAUACUGCAUAUUACAUAAACUUUAUGACCAACAUAAAAGUCACUGCAGGAUGUAAUUAUUGGAAACCAGACAAAAACGAUGAUUUUUGGUCAGUGUGAGAUUAUCUUUAUCACAGUUUGUAACAGACAAAAAUUGAAGUUUUAAGAGUAAACUUACCAUUUAGAAGCUGUCAUUUGCUAGUUUUUCUUCAAAGUGAAAAAUCUAAAGUCUUGCAGUAAAGUCAGAGUAAACUGCCCUUUCACAGUGAGCACUGCUCACCAGGCCUUCAAAGUUUAGUCCUUCCAUACAAAUGACCCAAUUGGUCCAUAGCUACAGGUGUGUUGCCGCGAUUGGCCAGGCUCGGUUCAGCGUUGCACCAACGUUACAGCAGGUCCUGUUUCAGUAGUGUUUUAUGUCUUGGCAACCAGGUGAUGAGAUGUGAAACUCAUGAAUACCUGGUAAGAGCUCCAAGCACGCAAUCUACUGUCCAAAAGGAAUUUCAAAGCUUUAUUACAUUUAGUAAGCAUACAAGGUGUUUGUGAUGAGGGUCUUUAACUUGACAUGAAAUGUUCAGAAACAGCCAAACUAUCAAAACAAUAAAUAUUAAUUGCAAUAAUUUGCUUUCUGGAAAACCCCAGGACUCUUCCAUACCACCUUCAGAGGGCCCAUGGAAAAGUAAACUGAGCCAUGAGUAAAAGGCGGUGACACAGGAGAGCACAUGUUCAGUAAAAACAAAAAUUAUCCUUAACAAGAAAUGGCCAUAAUCCUUAAAGUGACUUUACUUAACAAUCCCACCCCCCAAAAAACAAAACAAAAAAACACACCAUGAUCUCCAUUUCUGUGUGUUCAAGCUACAGUAGGUAUAUAUUCUGUAAAAAAGCAAACUUUUUGUCAUAUUUGCUGAGUUGUCACUAUAUCCUGACAGCAGUGCAUGAGACAGAUAAUCUGCUUGCACCUGAACUAAAAUAAACAAUCAGAGAAAACGUCAAUCUUCUUCGGUGAAAGUCAAUGCAAGUUUUCCUCCAUCAGUCUUCUUCUGUUUACUUGUCUUUACCAUGUACAUUGUUGUUGGCAGCACAGUGUGAUUUGCAUACAUUAGAAACUCCUCCUGGCUAUGAUUGGUUGUUUUUGUUCAGAUGUAGCGGAUUCUUGCAAAUGCCAUAAGGAGCACUAGAAGCAGCAGAGGUACCAUGUUUUUGCAUAAAUCUUCCAUUUCAUGUACCGCUGAGAGGUUAUAGUGUAGGUUUCAGCAAAUAUGACAAAGUUUAUUUUUUUUAUAAAAGUUACUCACUGAACAUUAACAGAAAACGUUAUCAUUACUGCACAUAUUUUUUUGAAGGCAACGAAACUUAACUGUGCAACACGUAUUGCAUGUUGUUAACUAACAAGGUGACAAAUAAAAGCAAGAUACAUCCGUUGGGUUCAAAAUCUAUUACAUCUUUUCAAGAGUUACUACCAUCAUCAUCAUCAUCAUCAGUAAAAAUGUACUGUAUCUGUCAAGCCAAUACAAAAAGCCUCGGCAUUUUUUCGUAUUUUGCUGUUAAAAAACUACCAAUUUCUUAAGGGAGUUCUGUACAAAAUAAAAGUUAAAAAUCUAAAACGUGCUUUAAAUACUAAACGUUUUUGUGCUAUACAGAUGCUCUUGUUGAGAGAACGAAAGCAUAGAGCACUAACAGCAAUGUAUGUGAAGAGGAUGAAAAUUUGAGAUAAAUGAAAUGGAAAAAAGUUUUACUGCAAUAGGGGUGAAAACAAGGUGUACAACUGCAAACAAAAAUUGCAAACACUGUAUUUGCAAGGUCUUAGACAAAUACUAUCAACACACUAUCAAAAUAUUCUGUUAACCAAGACAAAAUAACUUACAUUUUCUUGCAGCUAUAAGCUUUGAUUUUGUAUUACAUGUUUAUAGUAUUACAUGUCAAUUAAAAAAAACAAACAUGAAAAGCAUGGGCAUACAUGUACAAUAAUUUCAAUGAGCGGUUACCAGGCUAUUUGAUACUGUUAAAAGAGAACUCAUAAGACACUGAAAUAAAGUGUUAUCCAUCAUUGUUUACUUACUAUACCUUUUAUGUGGUAUCAUUGUCAUGUAAACCAGUGGUAGUCAGUGCUGGUCAUUUGUGACCCACUGGUGUAAACGUUUUCACUGUAAAAAAAAAAAACCAAAAAAAAAACACAUAUACCACUGUUUCCUUCCUCCAA
This is a non-coding RNA of Plectropomus leopardus (leopard coralgrouper), 3089 nucleotides long. Lineage: Eukaryota; Metazoa; Chordata; Actinopteri; Perciformes; Serranidae. The record is from RefSeq and is a predicted model, not a curated record.